AACGAACGCUGGCGGUAUGCUUUACACAUGCAAGUCGAACGAACUGUUGGUAGCUUGCUAUCAACAGUUAGUGGCAAACGGGUGAGUAACGCGUGGGAAUCUGCCCUAUAGUACGGAAUAGCCGUUGGAAACGACGAUUAAUACCGUAUAUCUUCCCAGGAAGAAAGACUUGUCGCUAUAGGAUGAGCCCACGUUAGAUUAGUUUGUUGGUAGGGUAAUGGCCUACCAAGACUACGAUCUAUAGCUGGUUUGAGAGGAUGAUCAGCCACACUGGAACUGAGAUACGGUCCAGACUUCUACGGAAGGCAGCAGUGAGGAAUAUUGGACAAUGGGCGAAAGCCUGAUCCAGCAAUACCGCGUGAGUGAUGAAGGCUUUAGGGUUGUAAAGCACUUUCAGUCGUGAGGAAGGUGGUAAUGUUAAUAGCAUUAUUAUUUGACGUUAGCGGACAGAAGAAGCACCGGCUAACUCCGUGCCAGCCGCCGCGGUAA
This 489-nucleotide ribosomal RNA is filed under the name uncultured bacterium. Its description in RNAcentral is "bacterial SSU rRNA". It matches the Rfam family "Bacterial small subunit ribosomal RNA", at positions 29 to 523 of the family's 1533-position model. The record is from RNAcentral.